UACGGGGGGGGCAAGCGUUGUUCGGAAUUACUGGGCGUAAAGGGCUCGUAGGCGGCCAACUAAGUCAGACGUGAAAUCCCUCGGCUUAACCGGGGAACUGCGUCUGAUACUGGAUGGCUUGAAUCCGGGAGAGGGAUGCGGAAUUCCAGGUGUAGCGGUGAAAUGCGUAGAUAUCGGGAGGAACACCGGUGGCGAAGGCGGCGACCUGGGUAGAUACUGACGCUGAGGUGCGAAAGCGUGGGGAGCAAACAGG
RNAcentral lists this ribosomal RNA (253 nucleotides) under uncultured bacterium. RNAcentral describes it as "partial 16S ribosomal RNA". It matches the Rfam family "Bacterial small subunit ribosomal RNA", at positions 524 to 776 of the family's 1533-position model. The record is from RNAcentral.